GAUAUCACCACUGACCCCACAGAAAUACAAACAACCAUUAGGGAAUACUAUAAACACCUCUAUGCACAUAAACUAGAAAAUCUAGAAGAAAUGGAUAAAUUCCUGGACACAUAUAUCCUCCCAAGACUGAACCAGGAAGAAGUUGAAUCCCUGAAUAGACCAAUAACAAGUUCUGAAAAUGAGGCAGUAAUAAAUAACCUACCAACCAAAAAAAAAGCCCAAGACCAGACAGAU
This 234-nucleotide long non-coding RNA is filed under the name Homo sapiens (human). RNAcentral describes it as "non-protein coding lnc-PRDX6-5:1". Lineage: Eukaryota; Metazoa; Chordata; Mammalia; Primates; Hominidae. The record is from RNAcentral.